GUCUAUGGCCAUGCCACCUUGAAUGUGCCCGAUCUUGUUCGAUCUCGGAAGCUAAGCAGGGUCAGGCUUAGCUUGGAUGGGAGACCACCUAGAAAUACCAGGCGCUAUAGGCA
Molecule: ribosomal RNA, 113 nt
Filed under: Pteropus alecto (black flying fox)
Lineage: Eukaryota; Metazoa; Chordata; Mammalia; Chiroptera; Pteropodidae
Source: RNAcentral